GCAGAAAUGAUUCAGGGGAAAAUCGGGCAG
RNAcentral lists this non-coding RNA (30 nucleotides) under Homo sapiens (human). Lineage: Eukaryota; Metazoa; Chordata; Mammalia; Primates; Hominidae. The record is from RNAcentral.